GCCACUGUCACCCCAGCCUUCAACAACCACCACCCUGAUCAGUCAGCAGCCAUCAAUGAGGCAAGAUCCACCAGAAACAGAAACAGACUAGGACUCUCUGAAAGCUCAGCUGAUUGUUAACAUUUUCUGGCAAUAUUUUUAAUCAAGGUCCUGGAAAUGGCUAGAAUCUGUCCUGAACUCUUGGCAUCUUCUGAUACUCAACGAUGGAGCACGGCGUGAACAUCAUCCUGCUGCCCUACACAAUAUUGUCUAGACUAUGGGUAGCUAAAAAAUCUAUUUGCAAUUAAUAAUAAAGAAAUAAAAACAAAGUUCUGAUUAAGUAUUCUGCUGUAUAUUUUCCUAGAAUAUUGGCUACUUAAAUGUUUUCCAUAUAAUUAUUAAAUAAAUAUUUAUUCUGAAGCGGUCCAUCUCUA
Molecule: long non-coding RNA, 413 nt
Organism: Homo sapiens (human)
Lineage: Eukaryota; Metazoa; Chordata; Mammalia; Primates; Hominidae
Source: Ensembl